This 3182-nucleotide long non-coding RNA is filed under the name Canis lupus familiaris (dog). RNAcentral's name for it is "lncRNA (ENSCAFG00000054797.1)". Lineage: Eukaryota; Metazoa; Chordata; Mammalia; Carnivora; Canidae. The record is from RNAcentral.
UUGUUAGAAAAUGAAAAAUCUGAGGCAAAAUAAAGAAAUCCUAGAUCCAAUAUUUCUUGCUCUAGGUUGCCAUUCACAAUGCAACAUAUGUAACAUUUUGGGGUUUUAGGUUAUUUUUCUCCCACAGGCAAAAGAAGUAUUAGACACAAUAUUAAAUGGCCUUUUCAAAGACAUACAGAACAUGCAGCAAAAUACUUCUGAAGCUAAGGUCCUUUUAAGGUAAAAUCUCUAGAUCCUUAUUUAAUUAAAAGCCAAUUAAGACUAGAUACACAUUAGACAACUAAUUUUAGAAGCAUUAUAGAAUAAGCAAUUUUUAAUCUCUAUGGAUAACAGCCAAUAGUAUACUAAUAUUAAUAUACCAAAAAUAAUAUACUCUUACAUAUACUUUUUAGUAAUAUGCACUUAAUUAUAAAAAUGGGUGGAAUUAUGCAAUAUGAAUAGUUUCAUGUUAUUUUAUGAAAAUUAUAUAAAAGCAUUAAAAUAGUCUUAAAAUUCUGAAACUUAUCAAUAUGCCAUUAAAAAUAAUCUCUACACUCACAGCUAAUUCUAUUAUCUAAUACUAUGAACAAAUUUCUUGUAGUUAUCAUUAGGUUUUGGGUCUUCUUAUUGUUCCUAUUAAGUAACUUUAGACACAUGUUGGAGCCAAGGGUGAAAGUUCAGACAGCAGAAAAAUUUUGCUGCACACUGCUACUAGAACAAAAGACAAAGAGCAUGGUUUUUCAAUGGGUAACUCAAAUCACUCCACUUCUCAAAGACAUCCAAAAGUUUUCCAAUCUCUGUGUAGCAUAAAAUACCAUAUUUCAUUAUGCUGCUUUCAAGAAUUGCCAUGAUUGCACCAGUAACUUUUUGUGUUUUUUUGCAAAUAAAACACAGCUUAGGGGCACCUGAGUGGCUCAGUUGGUUAAGCAUCUGCCUUUGGCUCAGGUCAUGAUCUUGGGGUUCUGGCAUCCAGCCCCACAUCAUUGGGCUCCCUGCUUCUCCCCCUGCCUUUCUGCCCUCCCAACCCCAACCAUGUAUGCUCUCUCUCAAAUAAAUGAAUAAAAUCUUAAAACACACACACACACACCUUACUUCUUACAUGUCCAUCACAGGUUGGCAUGGGGCUCUGUUCUUCACAGUCUCCUAGGAACUAGGUGGAAUAAAAAUUUUUAAAAACUCACCAACCCAGAAUCCUUUAUCCAGAGAAAAUACCCUUUAACAACUUUUGCAAUGACUAGGGCAGAGAAAAGGGGGUGGGUAGCUUUUUCUAAAUUAUCCCCAAUUUUCCUAGUUGAGAAUCUAGUGGGGUUCCUGGAAGAAAAGCCUGAAACCGUGUGAGCCUCCUUCCCCAAUUAUGACUGCAGCCCCAAGGAGGAGCACUUAUUCAUGCUAACCCACACUGAGCCUUCAGUAAUUCAUGAGAAUUUCUAGUCCAAUGUUCCUUGCAGGCCUGUAUGGCCUCUGGAGGCUUCUGCUGCAGGUGAGCAACUGCCUUCAGUCUGUAUCUCCCUGAAGGAUAGAAGUUUGACCUUCAAAUUCAGUUCACUGAUGGGUCCCAUAAAGUCAUUGAUACUUAGUUUGUCAAGCUUUUUCUUGUCUAAGGACAAAAGUAAUGACUCCUCAGGUUCUUUACAUAUCUGAGUUGAAACUGAAAGUCUUUCUGUUACAGCUGGUACAUUUUUCAAAGAACUAUUUUACAUCUAUUAUAAAAAUAAUACAGUUGGAUAUCAUUGAAAGUCCCCCUUUUCCAGGCCCUUGAAGUGUCCCUACCUGGUGGUUAUCAAUAUGGUGUAAAUCCAUCUAAACUGGACUUGAACUUCAUAAUAUUGGAGAAUUUCAAGGCUCAGUCCUCAGGCCUCUUUUCUUCCCCAUUUACCUUCCAUCCCUCAAUGAUCUCAUUCAGGCCUACAGCCUUAAAUAUUUUUAUUUAUGCUGACAACUUUCAAAUUUUUAUCCCCAGUCUAGACUUCUCUCUCAAAUUCGGACUCAUAUAUCCAACUGGUAACUUGCCUCUCCACUUGGCUAAUGGAAUUCUCACACUUUAAUUUUACCAUCUGAUCAUGUCCCACCCCCAGAAACGUCCUUUCAAAUGAAAGUCCAUCUUUCCAGUUACUCAGGCUAAAUGCCUUGGUAUUAUUCUUAACAAUUCCCUUUCCUUUACACUGUACAUUCAAUCUCUCAAAAAUCAGGUUAGCUCUACUUUCAAAAGAAAUGUAGAAUCUGACCACUUCUUCCAAUUUCCACUGCUAACACCCAAGUCUGAGUUACCAUCAUCUCCUGCCUAGAUUGGUUCAAUAGUCUCUUAAUAGAUCUCUUUGCUUCUAUUUAUGUUUCCUCUCUCCCUCUACAACUUGGAUAUUCCUUAACACACCAGAGUGAUACAUUUAAAAUAUAGGUUGAUCAAGUUACUCUUCAGCUCAAACUUCUGCAAUGACUAUUUUACCACAUGUACAAGCCAAAUCCUAUCUUUUGGCUGUUCAGUAAAAUGGCCACUAGCCACCUGUGGGCUAAGACUUAAAACGUGGCUAGUCCAAAUUGAGGUGUGCUUUAGGUAAGAAAUAUGCACCAUAUUGCAAAGCUUUAGUACAGAAUAUUAAAUAUCACAUUAAUAUAAUGAUUACAUAUUAAAAUAAUAUUUUAAAAAAUACUGUCCUAAAUACAAUAUAUUACUAUUACUAUCAAUUUCAUGUUUCUUUUCCCUUUUUUUUUCAACAGGACCACUGAAAACUUUAAAUUGUAUCCAAAGUUUCCAUUGUAUUUGUUUUGAACAGUCCUACUCUAUAUAAUCCAGACUCCAAUUUAACUUCCCAACCUCCUUUCAUCUAUUUUUCCCCUCACUUCCCCCACACUGACUGUACCAGGUUUCUGAGUGUUCUUUGAACACCAGGCAUGUUUCCACCUUAAGGCAUGUGUUUUAGCUGUUGCUCUUCCCUCUACGCAGAGCACACUUUCCUCUUAGUGUUUUCAGCUUUUCAGGUCUUUGUUCAUUUCCCACCCUCUCCAUGAGGAGACUCCAAGACUACACUAUUUAAAAUUACCUCUACCAUUCCCAUAAGGAUACCAAAUCUCAUUUAUUGCUUUUUCCUUUUUUCCCAUGCAUUAUCACCUCCUAAGAUAUUAAAUUAUUUACUUAUUCAUGAUAUGUAUUUUUUUGUUGUCUGUCUCCCUUCCAAAAUGCAAGGCUCACAAGGGCAGGGAUCUUU